GCCUCAUUUUCCACUGAACUGACAUGC
This 27-nucleotide non-coding RNA is filed under the name Homo sapiens (human). The record is from RNAcentral. Lineage: Eukaryota; Metazoa; Chordata; Mammalia; Primates; Hominidae.